AGUUGCAAACGCCAGGUAUGACAUCCAGUCAUCAGACUCUCUUAAUAUACUUUUUCUUUAGAAAAAAAAGAGCACAGAAUGUGACAACACUGGCAGAAAUGAAAAGCAGAACAAAGAAGAAAAGGUCGCAAAGAUAAAGGAAGAUGACAAGGACGUGAUGUCACCACCGUCAACUUCUGUUUACGCUAGUCUAGACAGUCGCCCCAGGUCCAUUUACGGCGUGCUGGACUGCUCAGCUGCUGAAGCGGAACCGAAAAUCAAGAAAACUAAUUCAAAGAAAAGGGAAAUGCUUAAAACAGUGGAGCCAACAGCAGAGCACCAAGAUGAAGGCGCAUUGGAAUGUGUUUAUGAGAACUUUUGAAAGAAAUCUUGGCUUCUGUUCAUAUUUGUAGCAUUGAUUAUAAUUUGAUUUUUGUUGUUGUUGUUACUAUUAAAGCUUGCUUUAAGUGAAGCCUUCAAGUCACACUUUUGUGAAAGCAGAGCCCUAUUUUUUUUAAUUACUGUUCAAAAAGUCUCUAUACAUCAUUAAUGUGGCAAAUAAUUCAAAAAUGACUAUUCCAAUUGCAAAUGUCUGGUUUUCGUGCAUUAUUUAUAUAUAGAGGCUGAUUUCCAGCAACAUCACUCCAGUGUUCUAAUGUUGGCUCAUUGUAUCAGAAGGCAAAUAGAUGAUUAAACAACCUUUGGCAGCACAA
This is a long non-coding RNA of Oryzias melastigma (Indian medaka), 692 nucleotides long. RefSeq lists it as uncharacterized. Lineage: Eukaryota; Metazoa; Chordata; Actinopteri; Beloniformes; Adrianichthyidae. The record is from RefSeq and is a predicted model, not a curated record. The transcript is spliced from 3 exons.